Molecule: ribosomal RNA, 207 nt
Filed under: uncultured bacterium
Lineage: Bacteria
Description: partial 16S ribosomal RNA
Rfam family: Bacterial small subunit ribosomal RNA
Source: RNAcentral
CACGUAGGCGGACUUUUAAGUCAGGGGUGAAAUCCCGGGGCUCAACCCCGGAACUGCCUUUGAUACUGGAAGUCUUGAGUAUGGCAGAGGUGAGUGGAACUGCGAGUGUAGAGGUGAAAUUCGUAGAUAUUCGCAAGAACACCAGUGGCGAAGGCGGCUCACUGGGCCAUUACUGACGCUGAGGCACGAAAGCGUGGGGAGCAAACA